This 268-nucleotide ribosomal RNA is filed under the name uncultured bacterium. RNAcentral's name for it is "partial 16S ribosomal RNA". The record is from RNAcentral.
CUGCUGCCUUCCGUAGGAGUUUGGACCGUGUCUCAGUUCCAAUGUGGGGGACCUUCCUCUCAGAACCCCUACUGAUCGUCGCCCCGGUGGGCCCGUUACCCCGCCGGCAAGCUAAUCAGACGCAUCCCCAUCCUUUACCGGCCGAAGCCUUUGGUCAUGAAAAUAUGCAUCAACAUGACAACAUACGGUAUUAAUCCGCCUUUCGACGGGCUGUCCCAUAGUAAAGGGCAGGUUGGAUACGCGUUACUCACCCGUGCGCCGGUCGCCA